GUUUCUCUGUUCACGGGAUUGAUUGGCAUUAGCGGCGAUGAAGGACGUGCAGGAGGACGAUAUGCGUUGUUGUUGUGACGGUGUCUGAAUUGUGUGCGGUGUGCACGGGGACCCCUUGGACUUAAGCAUAUCAGUAAAGGGAGGAGAAGAAACCAAAUGGGAUUGCCUGAGUAGCGGCGAGUGAAAUGGCAUGAGCCUGUGUGGUAACUGCGUUUGGCGGGUUGUGUUUGUGGCAGCAGCGGCGAGUGCGAUUGAAUUCGGAUGCGGAGAGGGCGAUGUGCCUGUAGGCGCGGCGGCUUUUUUUGUGAGUAGUGUUGCUUGGUAGUGCAGCGCGAAUGCGGUGGUGGAUGCACCGAAGGCUAAAUAUGGCUGAUGACCGAUAGCGGAUAAGUAGAGUGAUUGAAGUGUGAAAAGGAGGAUGAUGAGAAAUGAAAGUGAAUGGAGUGAAUGGGGGAUGUUCCCGCCCGUCUUGAAACACGGACCAAGGAGACGACGGCAGGAUUGUUUUCCGAGAGGGGAUGGAUGCUGCGGUCGGACCCGAAAGAUGGUGAGCUAUGUGUGUGUUGAUUGAAGGGAUGCGAAAGUGUUCUGGAGGAUCUAAGCCGUUCUGACGUGCAACUCGAUGGCAUGACAUGUGCAUAGGGGCGAAAGACCAAACGAACCAUCUGGUAGCUGGUUCCCUCUGAAAUGUCUCUCAGGACAGCGGCGACGGGGAGUGUAAGAUGUUGUAAAGCACUAAUGCGCUUGCGUUAAACUUUGAAGAUGUCUUUUAAGUGUGUUGCCAGUGGGCAUACUGUGGUAAGCAUGGUGUGCGAGAAGGGAUGAACCUUUAAGCGGGCUAAGGAGUCUUAUGCAAGGUGAGUGAAUCCGGCGGCCUGAUUUUGACAGUUGGACGGUGGCCAUGGAGGUUGGCAUCCGCUAAGAAACGUGUUGCAACGUACCUACCGAAUUGGGCGGCGGAGAAAAUGGAAGGGAUUGAAUUGCAUUCCGAUGCCUGCGGGGGAGUAUCUGAGUAAGGGGGCGGUAUCGUUCUGCUGAAGGUCCUGCGUGAGCGGGGGUGGAGGGGCGAUAUGUGCAGAUCUUGGUAGCAGUAACAAGGAAAUGAUUUGCGCUGUGGACGAGGGUUCCCUGUGUGGCAGGGGUGAAUCGACUGUGGAUACGGAGGUGCAUUGAUAGUUGUGUGUAUUGCGGCUGGGAGGCGACUUGGCUGUGACGGAUGGGGGCGGCCCUGUCCAGGAUAGCAGAACUGGAUGCUGUCUGCUGCGGAUUGUUAUGAUGCGAAGCAGCGAUUGUGGGCGAGCCUGUUCCGAUGAAAAAGAGGCUGCUUUGUCGUACCUAGACCGCAUCUGGUGUCCACUGUUUGCCGCGGAAGUGUUUUGUGCAAGGGCCGUAAGGGAAGUCGGCAAGAUUGAUGUGUAACUUCGGGAGAAGGAUUGGCUCUAGCGUGCUAGAACUGUUUGUUGUGGGGAAUCUGACUGUUUACUAAAAACAUAGCUUUGUGUGUGGACGCAAAGUGAAUUCUGCCCAGUGCACUUUUAGUUACGGCCUGUGUGGGCUAAGCGAGUGUAAACGGCGGGAGUAACUAUGACUCUCUUAAGGUAGCCAAAUGCCUCGUCAUGUAAUUAGUGACGCGCAUGAAUGGAGCAACGAGAUUCCCACUGUCCCUACGGCCUGUCUUGUGAACCUACAGCCAAGGGAACGGGCUUGGGCUGAUCAGCGGGGAAAGAAGACCCUGUUGAGCUUGACUCUAGCAUGUGUGAAGUGCUGGGUGUGGGCAUGCAGCGAGGUGGGGAUGAGUGCGAUACCACUAUGUCUUCCGCCCAGUGCUUUGUGGAUGGAUGUGGGGAGUUUGGCUGGGGCGGCACGACUGCUAAAGACUAACGCAGACGUCCUAAGGCGGGCUCAGCGGGGAAGGAAACCACGCGUGGAGCACAAGGGCACAAGCCUGCUUGAGACUGUUCCUAUUGCGGGACUGUUUGGGGGAAACCCUGGCCUAGAGAUCCCAUGUCCUAUUGUGCGUGGGACAUGGGUGACAGAAAAGUUACCACAGGGAUAACUGGCUUGUAGCAGCCGAGCGACCAUAGCGACGCUGCUUUUUGAUUCUUCGAUGUCGGCUCUUCCUAUCAUCGCGAAGCAGAGAUUGCGAAGUGUUGGAUUGUUCACCCACCAACAGGGAACGUGAGCUGGGUUUAGACCGUCGUGAGACAGGUUAGUUUUACCCUACUGUGUGGACUGUGCAGCAGAUCUUGAUAGUACGAGAGGAACUCUUGAUUGCGACCUCUGGUGGAGCGGCGUGCCUGCUGGCUGCUGCGGAGCUACGUCGGGAGUAUAAUGGCUGAAGGCCUCUAAGCCUGAAGACCGACUGCGCGGUGUGUGUGGCGGAAGACGACCGCUGUGUGUGCAAGCUGUGCGGAUGGAGGAGGAUUCCGACAUUUUGAGGCUGUGCAUUUGCGCGAGUGUGUGUGGAGAGCUCUUAUUGCACUGUG
RNAcentral lists this ribosomal RNA (2486 nucleotides) under Encephalitozoon cuniculi GB-M1. Its description in RNAcentral is "5.8S-23S ribosomal RNA from Encephalitozoon cuniculi GB-M1 (PDB 7QEP, chain 1)". It matches the Rfam family "Eukaryotic large subunit ribosomal RNA". The record is from RNAcentral. Lineage: Eukaryota; Fungi; Microsporidia; Unikaryonidae.